This is a long non-coding RNA of Uranotaenia lowii, 1322 nucleotides long. RefSeq lists it as uncharacterized. NCBI's taxonomy places the organism in Eukaryota, Metazoa, Arthropoda, Insecta, Diptera, Culicidae. The record is from RefSeq and is a predicted model, not a curated record. The transcript is spliced from 3 exons.
AUUGAGGCAGCGGAACAAGAAGCUCUUACUCCUAACCAUCUGUUAAUCGGAAGCUCCAACGGUAUCAAGCAGCCGACUGUGGAGCAGGUAGACGAAAAAUUGGCGCUGAAAAAUACUUGGCACCAAAUACAAACUCAAGCGGACACUUUCUGGCGUCGAUGGAUUCGUGAAUACUUGCCGGAUUUGACUCGGCGUACAAAAUGGCAGAGUGAAACUCGACCGAUUUGCGUAGGAGACUUGGUGAUCAUUGUGGAUGAGGCUAGAAGAAAUGGUUGGGUCCGCGGACGUGUUAAUGAGGUAAUUCCAGGGCAAGAUGGGCGUGUAAGAAAGGCGAUUGUUCAAACUCAUAGGGGGCUCACUAGGCAAUCGGUCUCCAAGCUAGCUGUACUUGACGUUGGGGGUGAGGUCUCAAAGUUAGCUGUAUUUGAAGUUGCGACUAAGGGUAACCCGGGAUCAUCCUGACCAGUGUUACGGGGGGGAGGCUGUUGGCAACUGGGAGCACUGCCAACUUUGAAGCGGCGCGACAUUUUCGACGCCAAAUACUAAACUGCAGUUCAGCGGCCAGCCGCGACGCUUUCCCGUUUGACAGCUACGAGUUCCGGGAAAAAACUUACACCACCCAUUCAAGAAGAGUCAAACAGAUAGCUUUAUUUCUAUUCUUCGUGAUUAAAACUAUAUCUACCUAUUUAAACUACAAUUGAAAAAAACUACCUAACCUAAGCUAAAACUAUUGCCGAACCAAGUGCAGUGAAACAAACGAACGAUAACCAGACAGUGGCACGUAAACAGCUAGUUUUCAGUGAGACCUUUUCGGAUUCAUCCGGCCCAGUGUAGAGCAUAGUACUGUGCUAAACAACAACGUGUUCCAUCCAGCGCUUUCUAGCUCGACUAUUGUUCCGGCUCUUCCAGCCUAGUUCAUAGAACUUAGCCUUCUCAAGCCGCAUCCGAGUAACAGCUCGUGAAUCGUUUCGGCUCAUCCAGCCAAGUUUAUCGAACUUAGCCUUCUCAAGCCGCGUCCGAGUAACAGCUCGUGAAUAGUUCCGGCUCCUCCAGCCAAGUUCCGAGAACUUUGCUCUAUCAAGCCGUGUAACACUAUCAGGUUAGCAAUUCCCGCUGCAUGCAAAAACGGUUCAUGCUAACGCUUUCUUUCAUUAGCAGCCUUGGUCAGCUUUGCCUAGAAUCGUUCCGGUUGUAGGGAAAUCGACUCGAAACACUGAUUUUGUAAGUCAAAUUACUAUAAAACUAAAAUUAUGUCAUCUAACCAAAACUCAAUAAAUUACAGCUUGAAGCUGCUUUGCUAUCAAGACCGGUGUCCUUUUCCC